ACUCAAAUGAAUUGACGGGGGUCUAUACAAGUGGUGGAACAUGUGGUUUAAUGCGAUACUACGCGCCUAACCUUACCAGUUCUUGAAUUGCAGCAUGUUUUUUGUAAAAAAAACAAUUUUUAAUCUUUUGUAAAAAAUGCUGUACAGGUGUUGCAUGGCUGUCGUCAGCUCGUGUCGUAAGAUGUUUGGUUAAGUCCCUUAACGAGCGCAACCUCAACUUGCAUUUCUCUCAGUUUUCUGAAAGAUGCAAAAACUGCCCAAUACAAAUGGGAGGAAGGUGGAGAUGACGCCAAGUCCUUAUGGCCCUUAUGGACUGGGCCACACACAUGUUACAAUGGGAAAUACAAUAUGUUACAAAGAUUUUAUCUUGUUUAUCAAUAAUAUUUGCCUUAGUUCGGAUUGAAGGCUGCAACUCGCUUUCAUGAAGGUGGAAUCACUAGUAAUCGUGGAUCAGGAUGCCACGGUGAAUUUGUACCUGGACCUUGUACACACCGCCCGU
This 499-nucleotide ribosomal RNA is filed under the name uncultured bacterium. Its description in RNAcentral is "partial 16S ribosomal RNA". It matches the Rfam family "Bacterial small subunit ribosomal RNA", at positions 899 to 1397 of the family's 1533-position model. The record is from RNAcentral.